Molecule: ribosomal RNA, 484 nt
Filed under: uncultured bacterium
Lineage: Bacteria
Description: partial 16S ribosomal RNA
Rfam family: Bacterial small subunit ribosomal RNA
Source: RNAcentral
AUUGAACGCUGGCGGCAGGCCUAACACAUGCAAGUCGAGCGGAUGAAGGGAGCUUGCUCCUGGAUUCAGCGGCGGACGGGUGAGUAAUGCCUAGGAAUCUGCCUGGUAGUGGGGGAUAACGUCCGGAAACGGGCGCUAAUACCGCAUACGUCCUGAGGGAGAAAGUGGGGGAUCUUCGGACCUCACGCUAUCAGAUGAGCCUAGGUCGGAUUAGCUAGUUGGUGGGGUAAAGGCCUACCAAGGCGACGAUCCGUAACUGGUCUGAGAGGAUGAUCAGUCACACUGGAACUGAGACACGGUCCAGACUCCUACGGGAGGCAGCAGUGGGGAAUAUUGGACAAUGGGCGAAAGCCUAAUCCAGCCAUGCCGCGUGUGUGAAGAAGGUCUUCGGAUUGUAAAGCACUUUAAGUUGGGAGGAAGGGCAGUAAGUUAAUACCUUGCUGUUUUGACGUUACCAACAGAAUAAGCGCCGGCUAACUUCGUG